UGGUAGAUGUUCUUACCGAGUUUACACUCCCAACCCAAUAGUGAACGUUACCAAACUAGUUAGCCUCGGCGGGAUCUCUGCCCCGGGUGCGUCGCAGCCCCGGACCAAGGCGCCCGCCGGAGGACCAACCAAAACUCUUAUUGUAUACCCCCUCGCGGGUUUUUUUAUAAUCUGAGCCUUCUCGGCGCCUCUCGUAGGCGUUUCGAAAAUGAAUCAAAACUUUCAACAACGGAUCUCUUGGUUCUGGCAUCGAUGAAAAACGCAGCGAAGUGCGAUAAGUAAUGUGAAUUGCAAAAUUCAUUGAAUCAUCAAAUCUUUGAACGCACAUUGCGCCCGCCAGUAUUCUGGCGGGCAUGCCUGUCCGAGCGUCAUUUCACCCCUCAAAGCCCUCCGGGGGGUCGAUGGUUGAGAAUCGGUCCUGCUUCUUGGCGGGGGGCGGAUAAAAUAAUACUUGGUUUGGUUCACCCCGCCCGCCGCCUGGUUCGGGGUUGCCAACCACCCGGGGGAGAGAUCCCACCCAAGAACAUUUUGGUUCGGAUUAUUUGGAGCUUGGGAGGUGGGAAAACCGCAAAGAUC
This 576-nucleotide ribosomal RNA is filed under the name Trichoderma harzianum. RNAcentral's name for it is "eukaryotic LSU rRNA". The stretch from base 218 to 371 matches the Rfam family "5.8S ribosomal RNA". Lineage: Eukaryota; Fungi; Ascomycota; Sordariomycetes; Hypocreales; Hypocreaceae. The record is from RNAcentral.